UGGUUCUCAAGGAAAGAGAGCACACCAGAGAGAGAAAAAAAAAGAAAAGGUAAAAAAGACCAUGGUAAGUCAAAGUGACCUUGGGACAAAGAUUCAUGCAGCAGCAAGUAACAACAUGAUGAUGAUGGUAUGUAGCUAACAUGUGCAAAGUUUUCCCUCCCUUGUUUCAAGGGAUCAUGUCCUUGUGGUGAUAUGGCUCUGGUUUCAAGUUAGUACACUUGCUAACCUUUCUUGCCUCCUCGCAGAAGGCGAUGACAUUGACCAUCCCCUUGUCCUUGCUCUUGCCAUGCCAUGACCCAACUAUAUGCAGUGCAAUCUUCUCAAUGUCGCCAAGGUAGCUGGGCUUGAGCUUUGUGGAGGUGACCAGUGCUAGAGCAAGGUUCCUGAGCCUCUUGUGGUCCUCCCCUAGGACCACUAACAUGGAGGACUUGCCCAGAAUGCCAUGAAUUGGCCUGGGGUAGCUGCACUGAAACAGCCUCUCCUCAUUCUGAAGGAUGAAGUGGUUCAGCUCCUGGUCACAGGACACUAUGGUGGGGGUGCAGAACAGAUGGGACUUAAACACCCUCCCAUACCUGCAUCAUCAUCAUCACACCAUCAUCAGUGUUACUACCACCAUGCAUGCUAGCUAGUUAAGUGUUGUGCAACCUUUACAUUCCUUUUCUCUCGCUUGUUCAUCGGAAGAAAAGGUUUGCACAACUCUUUAACAAGAUGCUAAACACUGUCCAAUUCAUGUUACAGCACCCCCCUCAUCAGGGAGGAAAAAAAAGGGCGUGAUAAAGCUGCUGGGACAGGACAGCAGCAUUACCUUGUGCUGUCACAUGAAAUAAUGGUACAGUACUUAAUUGCAUGGUAAGAUGACACUUGUUGCUCCUGUGUGGUUGUGGUGGUGAUACUGAUAGAAAUGUUUACUGCAUAUGAUUUUAAUUUACCUGGAGCAGUGAUCCUCCAGGAAGCUGCCCAGGGUGUUGCUAGCAUGAGGACUGAGGAACCUCAGCGUCUCACCAAGGAGAGGCCACCCAAAGCUUCCCUUGGGAGCCUUGGGAUUCAGGAGCAAAGGCAGGAAGUGGCUCAGCACCAGGGUCAGCAGCAAAGCAAGCAGGAUCACCAGAGCAGCCAGCACAAGCUCUCCUCCCACCAUCUUACCUAUAGCCUCACACCAGGCACCACCACCCCCUGCUCAUCUUAUCUCAAUCUCAUCUCACAACAAGAAGCAUGGAUGGAGCCUUGCAGCAGCUAAGCCUUAGCUUGCUAAGCUCUCUCUCUCUCUCUGCCUAUCUGUCUAUUCUACCAAGUUUCUAUCUAACCCUUUCACUAGCUUGUGCUCAACACUCUGCUUCUCUCCCUCUCCCUCCCUCUAUUUUUCUCUGGAAUGGAAGGUGAGGGGGGAGGCUAUAUAGCAGUAGAAGCAAAGGCAGGAAGGAUCUUUGCAAAGGGAGGGAGUGAUGGAAAGGGGUGAUGAGCAGGGGGGGGAGGGAAAAAAAAUAGAGGCUGCCUUUUGUUUCCUUGCUUUGGCCUUGUUUUAAAGUAGAAGUAGGGGUAUUUCUUUCUUGCAUUGUUUGAUCUCUGUUUCUCUCUGUUUUCUUUUUUUUUUUACUGCAGUGAAGUGAAUUGGCUGCAUGCAUAUACUGUGCCAGUAGUAGCUUUUAUCAAGGAGGGCUAUGAGCCUACAGCCUAGGACUAGGAGGAUGGUCCAAUGCAGAGUAGCUAGCAUCUAGGCUGCUGCUGCUGCUCAAGGUGCAGUCAAACACGCAGGUAGAGAGAGAAAUGCAUUGGGGUAGUACAUGCACAGCCAGGUGCAGAUCGAUGCAUGGGACAUCGGUGAUAAUUAAGCUCUCUCUGAAUCUGAUGAAGCUUAUGCGCGCGCGCGCACACACCUUGCCUUUGCAAUCUGUUCUUGGGGAUCCCCUGCUUCGAUGACUCAUAUCUGUGUCAUUUCCUAAAGCCCUUCUUUUUCAUGACAAAAAUUACAGCAACAGGGGUCGAUUUGGCCUUGUUCACUUCAGUUUGUCUGUGUUUUUUAUGGUGACUUGUGUGUGCUUUGUCAUAAUUCUGAAGAUGUUGUAU
This 2064-nucleotide long non-coding RNA is filed under the name Oryza sativa (Asian cultivated rice). RNAcentral describes it as "long non-coding RNA (OSAT_LNC000796)". Lineage: Eukaryota; Viridiplantae; Streptophyta; Magnoliopsida; Poales; Poaceae. The record is from RNAcentral.